This 27-nucleotide small RNA is filed under the name Bombyx mori (domestic silkworm). RNAcentral describes it as "ovarian small RNA-18651". The record is from RNAcentral. Lineage: Eukaryota; Metazoa; Arthropoda; Insecta; Lepidoptera; Bombycidae.
UAACAUCGGCUACUACGAAACGCCAAG